This 377-nucleotide ribosomal RNA is filed under the name uncultured bacterium. RNAcentral describes it as "bacterial SSU rRNA". It matches the Rfam family "Bacterial small subunit ribosomal RNA", at positions 30 to 407 of the family's 1533-position model. The record is from RNAcentral.
AUUGAACGCUGGCGGCAUGCCUAACACAUGCAAGUCGAACGGUAACAGGCCUUCGGGCGCUGACGAGUGGCGGACGGGUGAGUAAUACGUAGGAAUCUGCCUUUUAGUGGGGGAGUAACUCGGAGAAAUCCGGGCUAAUACCGCAUACGCACUACGGUGGAAAGCGAGGGGAUCGCAAGACCUUGCGCUAAUAGAUGAGCCUACGUCGGAUUAGCUUGUUGGUAGGGUAAUGGCCUACCAAGGCGACGAUCCGUAGCUGGUCUGAGAGGACGACCAGCCACACUGGGACUGAGACACGGCCCAGACUCCUACGGGAGGCAGCAGUGGGGAAUAUUGGACAAUGGGGGCAACCCUGAUCCAGCAAUGCCGCGUGUGUG